GAAUUCCAGAUGGCUGGUGGUAAGACUGGGAAGGACUCCGACAAGGCCAAGACAAAGGCAGUUUCCCGAUCCCUCAGAGAGCUGGCUUGCAGUUCCCUGAAAUCUAGGACAACCAGCCAUGGACUACGGCAGCCAUCCUGGAGUACCUCACCACAGAGGUACUUGAAUUGGCAGGAAAUGCAUCAGAAGACAUAAACAUAAAACAUAUCACCCUUGGUCACUUGCAACUUGCUAUUUGUGGAGAUGAAGAGUUGGACUCUCUCAUCAAGGCUAUAAUUGCUGGUGAUGGUGUCAUCCCACAUACCCACAAAUCGCUGAUUGGGAAGAAAGGGCAACAGAAGACUGUUUAAAGGAUGCCUGGAUUCCUUAUUAUCUCAGGACUCUAAUACUCUUAACAGCGGUCCAGUGUUGGUGAUUCCAGGGGACUGUAACUUUGUAAAAACACACAAUUUUGCCUUUUUGUAAUUCUAUUUGAGCAAGUUGGAAGUUAAAUUAGCUUUCCAACCAACCAAAUUUCUGCAUUCAAGUCUUAACUAUAUUUAAGAGUUAUGGUGGCUUCAAAGAAGCUACUGAUUCUGAAGUAGUGGGUUUUGAUUGAGUUGACUGUUUUUAAAAAACUGUUUGAAUUUUAAUUGUGAUGCAGAAGUUAUAGUAACAAACAUUUGGUUUUGUACAGACAUUAUUUCCACUCUGAUGGAUAAGUUCAAAAGAUUAUAUCCC
This is a non-coding RNA of Marmota flaviventris (yellow-bellied marmot), 720 nucleotides long. NCBI's taxonomy places the organism in Eukaryota, Metazoa, Chordata, Mammalia, Rodentia, Sciuridae. The record is from RefSeq and is a predicted model, not a curated record.